GAUGAAGAACGCAGCGAAAUGCGAUAAGUAAUGUGAAUUGCAGAAUUCAGUGAAUCAUCGAAUCUUUGAACGCACAUUGCGCCCGCCAGUAUUCUGGCGGGCAUGCCUGUUCGAGCGUCAUUACAACCCUCAGGCCCCCGGGCCUGGCGUUGGGGAUCGGCGGAGCCCCCCGUGGGCACACGCCGUCCCCCAAAUGCAGUGGCGGUCCCGCCGCAGCUUCCAUCGCGUAGUAGCUAACACCUCGCGACUGGAGAGCGGCGCGGCCACGCCGUAAAACUCCCAACUCUUCUGAAGUUGACCUCGAAUCAGGUAGGAAUACCCGCUGAACUUAAGCAUAUCAAUAAGCGGAGGA
Molecule: unclassified non-coding RNA, 352 nt
Filed under: soil metagenome
Description: partial contains 5.8S ribosomal RNA, internal transcribed spacer 2, and large subunit ribosomal RNA
Rfam family: 5.8S ribosomal RNA (bases 1-120)
Source: RNAcentral